RNAcentral lists this unclassified non-coding RNA (333 nucleotides) under soil metagenome. RNAcentral's name for it is "partial contains 5.8S ribosomal RNA, internal transcribed spacer 2, and large subunit ribosomal RNA". The stretch from base 1 to 120 matches the Rfam family "5.8S ribosomal RNA", at positions 35 to 154 of the family's 154-position model. The record is from RNAcentral.
GAUGAAGAACGUAGCGAAAUGCGAUAAGUAGUGUGAAUUGCAGAAUUCAGUGAAUCAUCGAAUCUUUGAACGCACAUUGCGCCCUUUGGUAUUCCUUAGGGCAUGCCUGUUCGAGCGUCAUUUAAACCUUCAAGCUAAGCUUGGUGUUGGGUGACUGUCCGCUUCACUGCGGACUCGCCUCAAAAUUAUUGGCGGCCGGUACAUUGGCUUCGAGCGCAGCAGAAACGCGAACUCGGGCCCGUCGUAUUGGCUCCCAGAAGCUAUCUUCACAAUUUUGACCUCGGAUCAGGUAGGGAUACCCGCUGAACUUAAGCAUAUCAAUAAGCCGGAGGA